UACGGAGGGUGCGAGCGUUAAUCGGAAUUACUGGGCGUAAAGGGUGCGUAGGUGGUUUAUUAAGUUAGCUGUGAAAUCCCUGGGCUUAACCUGGGGCGGUCAGCUAAGACUGAUGAACUCGAGUAUGGGAGAGGGUAGUGGAAUUUCCGGUGUAGCGGUGAAAUGCGUAGAGAUCGGAAGGAACACCAGUGGCGAAGGCGGCUACCUGGCCUAAUACUGACACUGAGGCACGAAAGCGUGGGGAGCAAACAGG
Molecule: ribosomal RNA, 253 nt
Filed under: uncultured bacterium
Lineage: Bacteria
Description: partial 16S ribosomal RNA
Rfam family: Bacterial small subunit ribosomal RNA
Source: RNAcentral